GUACACGGUGGAUGCCCUGGCAGUCAGAGGCGAUGAAGGACGUGCUAAUCUGCGAAAAGCGUCGGUAAGGUGAUAUGAACCGUUAUAACCGGCGAUGUCCGAAUGGGGAAACCCAGUGUGAUUCGUCACACUAUCGUUAACUGAAUACAUAGGUUAACGAGGCGAACCGGGGGAACUGAAACAUCUAAGUACCCCGAGGAAAAGAAAUCAACCGAGAUUCCCCCAGUAGCGGCGAGCGAACGGGGA
Molecule: ribosomal RNA, 246 nt
Filed under: Klebsiella pneumoniae
Lineage: Bacteria; Pseudomonadati; Pseudomonadota; Gammaproteobacteria; Enterobacterales; Enterobacteriaceae
Description: partial 23S ribosomal RNA
Rfam family: Bacterial large subunit ribosomal RNA
Source: RNAcentral